AGCAGCCGCGGUAAUUCCAGCUCCAAUAGCGUAUAUUAAAGUUGUUGCAGUUAAAAAGCUCGUAGUUGAAUUUCAGGCCUGGCUGGACGGUCCGCCCUUCGGGUGAGUACUGUCUGUGGUCGGGUCCUACCUUCUGGCGAAGCGUCAUGGCCUUAACCGGCCGUGGCGGGGAACCAGGACUUUUACUGUGAAAAAAUUAGAGUGUUCAAAGCAGGCAAAUCGCUUGGAUACAUUAGCAUGGAAUAAUGGAAUAGGACGAUGGUUCUAUUUGUUGGUUUCUAGGACCGUUGUAAUGAUUAAUAGGGAUAGUUGGGGGCAUUAGUAUUCAAUUGUCAGAGGUGAAAUUCUUGGAUUUAUUGAAGACUAACUACUGCGAAAGCAUCUGCCAAGGAUGUUUUCAUUAAUCAAGAACGAAAGUUAGGGGGAUCGAAGACGAUCAGAUACCGUCGUAGUCUUAACCAUAAACUAUGCCGACUAGGAAUCGGACGAUGUUAAUUUUAUAAUGACUCGUUCGGC
This 516-nucleotide ribosomal RNA is filed under the name uncultured Paraglomus. Its description in RNAcentral is "SSU rRNA". It matches the Rfam family "Eukaryotic small subunit ribosomal RNA", at positions 569 to 1084 of the family's 1831-position model. The record is from RNAcentral. Lineage: Eukaryota; Fungi; Glomeromycota; Glomeromycetes; Paraglomerales; Paraglomeraceae.